RNAcentral lists this ribosomal RNA (830 nucleotides) under uncultured low G+C Gram-positive bacterium. RNAcentral's name for it is "bacterial SSU rRNA". It matches the Rfam family "Bacterial small subunit ribosomal RNA", at positions 68 to 873 of the family's 1533-position model. Lineage: Bacteria; Bacillati; Bacillota. The record is from RNAcentral.
CCUCCCGAGUGCUUGCACUCAAUUGGAAAGAGGAGUGGCGGACGGGUGAGUAACACGUGGGUAACCUACCCAUCAGAGGGGGAUAACACUUGGAAACAGGUGCUAAUACCGCAUAACAGUUUAUGCCGCAUGGCAUAAGAGUGAAAGGCGCUUUCGGGUGUCGCUGAUGGAUGGACCCGCGGUGCAUUAGCUAGUUGGUGAGGUAACGGCUCACCAAGGCCACGAUGCAUAGCCGACCUGAGAGGGUGAUCGGCCACACUGGGACUGAGACACGGCCCAGACUCCUACGGGAGGCAGCAGUAGGGAAUCUUCGGCAAUGGACGGAAGUCUGACCGAGCAACGCCGCGUGAGUGAAGAAGGUUUUCGGAUCGUAAAACUCUGUUGUUAGAGAAGAACAAGGACGUUAGUAACUGAACGGUCCCCUGACGGUAUCUAACCAGAAAGCCACGGCUAACUACGUGCCAGCAGCCGCGGUAAUACGUAGGUGGCAAGCGUUGUCCGGAUUUAUUGGGCGUAAAGCGAGCGCAGGCGGUUUCUUAAGUCUGAUGUGAAAGCCCCCGGCUCAACCGGGGAGGGUCAUUGGAAACUGGGAGACUUGAGUGCAGAAGAGGAGAGUGGAAUUCCAUGUGUAGCGGUGAAAUGCGUAGAUAUAUGGAGGAACACCAGUGGCGAAGGCGGCUCUCUGGUCUGUAACUGACGCUGAGGCUCGAAAGCGUGGGGAGCAAACCGGAUUAGAUACCCUGGUAGUCCACGCCGUAAACGAUGAGUCGCUAAGUGUUGGAGGGUUCCCGCCCUUCAGUGCUGCAGCAAACGCAGUUAAGCACUCCGCC